This 567-nucleotide ribosomal RNA is filed under the name uncultured bacterium. RNAcentral describes it as "bacterial SSU rRNA". It matches the Rfam family "Bacterial small subunit ribosomal RNA", at positions 338 to 916 of the family's 1533-position model. The record is from RNAcentral.
CCUACGGGAGGCAGCAGUGGGGAAUAUUGGGCAAUGGAGGAAACUCUGACCCAGCGACGCCGCGUGCGGGAUGAAGGCCUUCGGGUUGUAAACCGCUUUCAGUAGGGAAGAAGCGAAAGUGGCGGUACCUACAAAAGAAGCACCGGCUAACUAUGUGCCAGCAGCCGCGGUAAUACAUAGGGUGCAAGCGUUGUCCGGAAUUAUUGGGCGUAAAGAGCUCGUAGGUCGUUUGUUACGUCGGAUGUGAAAACCUGAGGCUCAACCUCAGGCCUGCAUUCGAUACGGGCAAACUAGAGUUUGGUAGGGGAGACUGGAAUUCCUGGUGUAGCGGUGGAAUGCGCAGAUAUCAGGAGGAACACCAAUGGCGAAGGCAGGUCUCUGGGCCAAUACUGACACUGAGGAGCGAAAGUCUGGGGAGCGAACAGGAUUAGAUACCCUGGUAGUCCAGACCGUAAACGGUGGGCACUAGUUGUGGGAACCUUCCACGGUUUCUGCGACGCAGCUAACGCAUUAAGUGCCCCGCCUGGGGAGUACGAUCGCAAGAUUAAAACUCAAAGGAAUUGACGG